UCCACAGACUGUAUGUUCAAUGGGCAAAGACUGUAUCUUCCUCUCCACUUGGAAAGCACUGUACUUACCACAGUUUGGGUCACAGCCAGAAUAGAAGUAAUUAAUAAACACAGCUGUCUCUGAACACAAACUGGGUUUCCCUGGUCAGAGUACGUAGGGAUUUUUUUCCUCCCUGGGAAACAGGCUAACUAAACUGCUAUGCAUUCCCCUAUCUCUACUAGUCUAGAGCAUGUUUCUACAAUGCUGUUAGAACAGGGUUAAUGAAGAACCCUCACACACCUGCCAGGGGCAGACAGCAAUACCCAUCUUAAACUGUGUGGUUGCUAGCACAGUUACAACCAUAAUGUUAUGAGAGCAAAAACAGGGGGUGCACUUAGCCUGUCCUUGGUGGUGUGCCCUGCUGGCAUGUCUUUGCUCCAUCCAAACACUUAGGCUUUCAUUAAUGAACAAGUUUCUAGCCCCUACAGUUAUGCUGAAAAGAUUCUGAAUUUGAACUAACGCACUACUGUCUUCCAGAGUCUACACUGAUACAAACAAAACCCUCUCUUAGGGUAGGGAUCUGCCCAGACCCCCUGCUACAUACUCAGGCAGCUAGCCCAAGCCACCACCCAUGCUACCCACCUACCUUGCUAUUUUUAACACAGUAGUUCCAGCAGACCUAAUGUGGUCUGUCUAUGCAAGUUGGGAAUCACACCUCCCAGCUCAAAUGUAGACAUAUCCUUAGGGUGUCAAAUGCCCCCCUCUUCACUCAGUGGUGUAUUAUUGCUAUACUGGAUCACUAACUCGAGUCUACAAGAGAAAGUAUCUUGUGUUUAAAUAAAAUGAGAUAACACCGUCCCAUAAAUAGAAAAGUUAUGUCUAAUUGGACCUGUGUGGGAUGACUGAUCACAGAGAUUUAUCAGACAACCAUAUCAGUAGGUCACAAAGCUGCCAGAACAAUAGUUGAUUCUUUUUUAUGUCUUCCUAUUUAUCAAAUUCUUUUCCAAAGUUCUUUCAUUGUUUUCCCAUUCUGUGUUUUUUCCUCCUCCCCAGCUCUGGCUGGUAUUUACAGAAGUUUUACUGCUCCUUUGUCUAACUUUCUUUAUUCUGUAUUUUGUUCCUGUCACUCCUAACAGCCUUUCCACUGAAAAGCCUUUUCUUUCAUUUUGAUAUAUUAUAUUAGUGAGAUAGGCAGGAAAGGAUAGACUGUUUGUGUGGGCCUGUAGGGGAGAUAUUCUCACAGACUAACCCAGGACAAAGGAGAAGGAAGUUGCAGGACAGAAGACAGAGGGAAAUGGGGGAGGGACUUGAUUUUUAAUUGAUUUAGGGGGGCUGAUUUUGUUAACAUUAAUAUUUCUGGUCAUUGCUUUUUUAUAUGAAGGUAUGGGAGAAUGAGUAAAAUAUUGUACGGCACAAAGCCAGGCAAGAUCAGGUAUACCAGAGCAGAUUCUGGGGUGAGGUUUGUCCAUAUAGAACACAUAUGGGGGGGGGGGGGAGGGGGGGAGGUGCAUGUGCACACUUGAACCUCACCUUUGCACUACCUCACACUCCUGGUGCUGCCUCUCCGCUGGCUUUGGCCCCCCAUGUGGAGCUAGACACCCUGAGCACCGUUCUAACUUAGCUACAGACAAAGUCAACAGGUCAAAACCACAGCCGAGGAUUGUGUGGAUUCAUGCCCUCUUUCCUCUAGUCACACUUCCCCUCACCCCCCAAUAUACAGACAGCAGUGAGGGGGAGUGGCAUAAAGGCCUCUAAACCACCAGAAUAUCACCUUACACUGGCCUGAUCCUCUAUGGGCCUGUUGAAAUGGAAAGUAGUUGCACUGUGUAAGAAAUCUGACCCUGAAAUGACACUUUUCCCUGAACUAAGUCACACUCCUCCUCUCUUACUCCAGUGGCAUGGACUGUCACUUAAACCUGGUCAGUAGAGCAUCCAGCACAACAGGGUCCUAAUCUAACUGAACCCUAUGGGUGCUGCUAUCAGAAAAAAGUGUAAUUCUUCCCCUAGACAAGAAUAAAUGAUCCUUAAAAAUGAUCCCAGUUAUUAAUUUGUCAAGUGGCUAUCCCUGGUGCACAAGUCCCAGGAGUCUGAGAAAGGUAAGCACCUGGCACAACUUUCCACUGUUGUAGUGUGCUGCUAUUUACAACAAUGCAAAGAAAAUGUGAAAUGCAGAUAGUGAUACAGUCAGAGAUGACAGUGAAGUACAUUUUAUGUACAGCCUGCCUCGUUAGGGUCAAUAGACAGAAUGGUUAUAUAGGCUUUCCUAGUAAGUUUUCGGAUUGGCUCACAGUUGGAGGGCACCCUCUUUGCUCCCUACUAAAAUGGAGUUCUGCUUUAAAAAUCAUUGGAAAGCACUGCUUUUAGUUAUGUCUUUACAAAUACAUACACAUAGAGACAAAGUGGAGAUAGGCCCAAACUAGAAGAUUCAGAUCCCAGCUUCCCCAUAUAUUUCCUUUGACCCAGGAGGUCCUGCAACAUGACAUUCUCUGACCUCCUUCCAUCACCCAUAACUACAGUUGCCUUCUUGUGGAAAAAGACUAGUGGUGGUGGUCUUCUCUGCCCUCUAGUGGGACAUCAGACAGGCCAUUGGUCCCCUGUAGAGGUGAGGAGGACCAAAUCCUCCCUACACACACAUACUGUAUCUAGGAGCAAUACACAGAAUCAUUCUAUUGCCCCACCAGCUUUUUUAAAUUACUGGUUAAGCAAGAACUCACAAAAUACAUCCACUCCCUCAGAUAAUAUGACUCAAAAUGGCUUCUACUAAUCCUGACCACGUAGGGUAAACUCAGCCAGUAAGGAAACCAAAACCAAUACAAUCUGACCUGAGACCAGAGAUAACCAAGCAACCCAUCUUAAAAUUAGAAAAAUCAAUGUGAAUGGUGUCCAUUUUUGCAGCAAAAAAUGUUAAUGCAAAAAAUUUUGUUGAAAGAUGUAAUAAAACUGCUCCAAUUUUGUGACCUCAAAAAUAAAUAAAGCUAAUUUCAAUUUAAAAAUAUUUUGCUCUGAAUAUUUUGCUCAGCUUUAGCUUACAGAUGGGAAAAGCUACUUCAGAAGUAUGAGAAAAUUCCCUAAUUUUCGUGAACAAAUAUAUCACUAGAGUGGAGCACAUAACAUUUGCAUUAGUUGACUCAAGUUCUUUUAAAAAAUUUUAAUAUAAAAAUGAUUUCAAUACUAAUCAAAUGUAAGAGUGAAAUGUGAUCUCUUUGCAUAUCGUAGAUAUAAUAAAUUCCCUGCUAGUUUAUUGUCACCUAAAACUGCAUGCUCCUUUUUUCAGAAUAUUUUCUUUACUUUGUUGCUGUUUGGAAAACAAGACCCUGAUUCAAGAAAACGCUUAAUACAUGCUUAACUUUAAGCAUGUGCAUAAACUGAAGUCACUUUGACUUCAGUAGAACUUAAGCCCCUACUUACAAAAUUAAGCACUUUCUUAAAGUUAAGCAGGGUGUUGUGCAGAGUAGGAAUAAGGUAUAAGGUUUGGCUCUUAAACCAAAUGAAAUCAUUAUUAAAAUUCCCAUUGAUUAAAGCUCCAGUCCUGCAAAGAUGUAUGUAUAUGUUUAACUUUGCAUACUGGGAGCUGACUCACUGAAGUCCAUGGGUUGGAAUCGUACAGGAAAAGUUCUUAACUAAAACCCUAAUCUUGCAACUUUAUUUGCUCAGGCAGAUUGCUCUGCAGGCAGGAUCAGCGCUUAACUGGGGACUAGGUUCCCACUCUAGCAGUCAAAUCUACACACCUUAUGCAGAACCCCAGUGAGAUGAUUGGGUCAUAUGGAUUUGACUGUACACCUGCCUUAAUGCAAAUGUAGGACAAGGCCUACCUAACUGUACAGGGAAAACAAAUGAGCUGUCAAAUGUUCACAGACAAACUGAAGAGACAGAGGAAUGGAUUUCUUUUCUCUAAUCUCUUUUAGUCAUAGUAAUCUUAGGUGUGCCUUUUAACAAUGAGUGAUUUUUGUCGACAAUGUCCCUAUAGUAUAGAGAGAUUCCACCCAGAAUCAGAGAUUUGCCAUCCAUAAAUAUAUGGCUAGACAGACAAAUUUUAAAAAACCUUAAUUUUCUGAAGCAUGGGAUGUCAAAAUCCUAACCUACGAGUCCCUUCUGUGCAACAAAGCUCUCCUUGUUAAAAUUCUGCACAGGCAUGUUUCCUCUCUUCUCUCUCAGGUACCAUUCUUUCUAUGUACACUACAAUAACAACUGUUCCUUUACUCAGACUGAACACAAUAACCAGAUCUUUGUAGAGGAUAAUUAACAGCCAGCAGUGAGUCUUAGCAUUUAUUCAAUGGACUAUGAAUGAGUUAUGAAAAUUCUUUUUACUGAAGAAAUAAUAGGAUCUCAUACUGUUCACAUGUGUUUUGCUUCUCGUGUGAUAUUGUAUUUAUAGUUUUCAUAAUUUAAAAUGAGAAAUAUGCACAUAAAUAUGAUUGUACAUUUAUAUUGACAUAAUGAUUGCUAUAUAGAUUUGUCACCUUUUCUGUCACUAAUGAAAUCCCCAAUACAUUUGCGUCUGUUUCCGAUUCAUAGUGUCCACUCUGAGCUGCAUAUUGCUGUAUUGGUCAAUACUAAUGGGACAGAGCCUCAACAGCUGUUUCAGGAUAUUUGAUGUUUGGUCUUUGAUUCUGCAAUUGGAUCUACGAGGCUUUCACAGAUCUACCCGUAGGAUUAGAGCCCUGGAGUCUUCAGAACCACAAUAAAUGUGGAAAUUAUAUAGCCAACAUCAUGGUCACCAUUAAAAAAAUCCCAGUGGUUUUCACACAGUGGCCCAUGCAUUAGUGAUGUUAUUUCCUGUUCUAAGUAUCGAGGAAGUGAGGUCCAAUUGUUAAACAUGGUAGCCUGAGAUCCCAGAGACCUGAGUUCAAUUCCAUACUUAGCUAUCACUGUCCUGUGGGACCUUGGGCAAGACAUUUAGUCUUUCAACAUCUCAAACUUCUCUACAGAUACUGUGGUAAUGGGGGCCAUAAAAGAAUCUUACAUAUAUAGGAGAAUGUUGUAGUAUCUCAGUGUACAGCUACACAGCAAUAAAAAAUGCCCUGCAAUAAUGAGUCUCAGAGCCUGGGUCAACUCAUUUGGGCUUGCAGGGCUAAAAUUAGCAAUGUAGAUGCUCAGGCUGGAACCCAGGCUCCAAGGCCCUUGCCGAGCCUGAGCCCAAACAUCCACACGUCUAUUUUCAGCCCCACAACCCCAAAUCAGUUGACCCAGGCUCUGAGAUUUGUUGCCACAAGGUUGGGGUGGGGAGGACUUUUUGCUAUGUAGAUGUACACAUAGAGAUUACCCUGUAGUAAUUGCUGCCAAGUGCUGAUUUUGUUUAACAUUGGCCACUAUGGGUUGUGGCAUUACAUACACUAUGAUUCUAUUUAUGACAGGCUACCUGCCUGUCUGUGAGCCUCCAUUUCCCGACAUUGCUUCCUUCCUCACUCACCCGUUCCUGUAGAGCUUUAAACUUCUUCUCCCUUCAUCCCCAUUUCUCUGCUCAGGACCCAUCCACCCUGUCUAGACACAGCUGCAGAUUUCUCUAGCUCUCUCUCUCUGUGCCGUAGCAAUGACAGCACAGGAUGUCUGGAUGUGACUAUAAAUAAAAUGGAAUUGUUCUGAAAUAUAUUUCGUUCCUAAGCAUUGAAAGAUGUGCUUGUGCUUUUGGUUUCAUUAUAGAAAAUUAUCCUAUUGCCCUUUCUACUGUUUAUUGGCUACAUAUGUGUAAAAGAGAACAACUCACGGUCACAGGUUGGGACCAUUUUACAGGGGAUCCUAAUGGGAAACCAUGUCUUUUUGCUAUGAAGCUGAUAAGCCAGUUAGAGAGCAAUUUGACAUGAAAAGAAACACUACUCUCUUCCUGUUGAGACACUGAUGACCAUUAAUAAAAAUGUGAGAGAGGGAAAAACUUUCUGGAUAAGUAAGAAAAUACUAAGAAGAAAUAAAACUUCUUCUCAGUAUAUCACCUCCUUCCCCCAACAUCUCACCCAUGUACUAAAUCAGUAUAGAAAGUCAUAGGAUCCGGCUUGAGGAAGUGCAUGCUGUUAUUGCACAACAUAAAAUCAACAGACCCUUCUUCCUGAUUUUCCAAUAAACCUUGGUACUCUGGUGAGACAGGCUAUAGGAAUACAUGCAUCUUGCAGAUUUCCACAGAAAAUGUAUCUAGACGUAAUGGUUUUUAUGAUAAAAAUGCCUGUGUAGAAACCCUCAUGAAGAGUUUGCAUAAGACCUUGGAACUACACAAAUUGCCAGAAUCAAAGCCAAGUCAAAAAGGAGGGAGACACUGUUUCACUCAGUGUAUUAGUGGGAUCAUCUCAACUGAGUGAGUAAUUGCUACACAGAAAGAGACUUUCACAGACUGUGCUUAUAAAAGCUUAAAGAAUUCAUUUGUGAAGAGAGAAGUGAGUGAGCCUACUGAGUAUGAGCCCUCCUGACAAGGGAUCAGGAUAGUGCAAGCAACUCAUGCUGUGACACGGGCCAAUCCCACCUAGAACCAAGCUCCUAUAGCAAGCAGGAAGACACUUUAAGACCAUGUGAGAUUACUUGAAGCAUCACAGGAACCUGCCACUGGUAGAAAAUGAGAUAAAUAACAGAAUCCAGAAAUGUCUGAUCCCUGCAAAUGCCUAGUCAGUGCUGGAAUGCUGAAACAAUAUUGCUAUUUUUGGGACAGUGCAAUCAAUGGGGCAUGGCAUUCACCUGAGUAAUUAGGAUGUAUUGUGAUGUGAUUGAUUACAUCUAAGUUACAUUUCUAAGUGGCUAGUGCUGUCUCUGCUGCUGUUUAAUUUUAUGUUAUUUGCUAAAGCUCAGAAAGAGAACACACAAACAGGAAAAAGCCUUUGAAUUGGUCUUGGAGUUGUGAAAUACCUGGAAAAGCAUCCUGGUUAUUACUGACAUGCAAAUGAGCACACCAUGAAAACCACCUUGUUUCAGGAGAACCGUGAACAGAUGGCUUUUAUACUAGUGCAGGUUUUACCCAGGCCAGGAUGCAUCCAAGGGUAUGUUGUUAACCCCAACAAACGUAAUGCUAUUACUCAAGAGACUGAGCUUCAUGGCAGUUCUAUAGUUGUUUCCAUAUUAUUAGAUUGUUUUGAGCUUGCAGUGCAACUAAGCAGUAUCAGUGGAGCAAGUCAUUCUCAGGGAAAGAUCUCUUUCAAAAGCAGUGAUCUUAACAGAGGAUGGGGAAUAAAACCAUGCCAUUAAUAACAGAGUGACAUUCAAGCUCCUUGGAAGUUGUCCUGCAGUACAGGCAGGCAAAGUUCACUGCAGCAGAGAGUCCAAUAGUCUGCUGCAGCACAGCAACACUUAAAGGGGACCUACAAAGGAAGUAAAGUUGAGCUUGUGGCCAUUUUUGCCUCUUUAUGAUCUUUAAAAGAGGCCUAACAUUUGUCUUUUAAAAAUAGUGGUGGUAGGUGGGAGGGUUCUGCUUGUAUUUUACGUUUGAAAUUUGUGUCCUGUCUAGCCUAGAAGGAUUAUUAUUAUUACUAUUUAUUAUUUGUAUUAUAAUCUAGCAUCUAUUUGUGUAGCAUCUAGGAGCCCCAAUCAUGGACCAAGACCCCAUUUGUUUAGGAGCUGUAUAACCACAGACUCUUGAUGCUGGACAACUAGUGAAAUAAUGGUAUGGUACAAGUCCAGGGAGUGAAAGUUGAGCAGGGAAGGACUUCUUGGAUGAACUCCUAAUGGAAAGGACAAGGGAAACGGAAUGAAUCCUUAACAAAAAGAGCUUUUGACCUAAGUGUAUUUGUGACACAGGUGUUCGCAAACACAAAGACAACAUUUUUUUGAACAGUCUGAAUAAAAAUCACAAAUAAUGAGGUU
This is a long non-coding RNA of Chelonia mydas (Green sea turtle), 7755 nucleotides long. RefSeq lists it as uncharacterized. The transcript has 2 exons. Lineage: Eukaryota; Metazoa; Chordata; Testudines; Cheloniidae. The record is from RefSeq and is a predicted model, not a curated record.